Long non-coding RNA from Zalophus californianus (California sea lion), 579 nucleotides. RefSeq lists it as uncharacterized. Lineage: Eukaryota; Metazoa; Chordata; Mammalia; Carnivora; Otariidae. The transcript is spliced from 4 exons. The record is from RefSeq and is a predicted model, not a curated record.
AAGAGUGAACCAGUGAGUUCAGGAGAGGCCAGCCCAUGGAGCCCAUCUUGCCGGCAGAGAAAGAGCAAUUGCAGCAUUUCCAUGGAAACACAGCAAGGAAAGAGAAUUCUGUUUGGACAAUCUCUGCAGAGCAGAUGACACUUGCUACAAAUGCCUUCUCCCUGGACAAAGAAAAUGAGGACUUGGCUAAGAUCUACCCUCCCCAUCAAGGCCCUGCUCUGAGGGUUGAAAAUGUACAGAGGAAAAAGAAGAGAAAGGAGAAGAAAGAAGAGCAGAGGAGGGGAGGAGAUGCCAGAGGAAAACAGGAGGAGAGAGUGUGGAACAGCAGAGGCAAGCACGAGCAGUCUUCAGGAAGACAGAUACUCAUCAGAAAGUGGCUGUGGGUCCCACAGAGAGGAAGCAGAGCCAUCUUCAGGGAGCUCGCCAGCCCUUCAUCUGCCUGGGGAAUCUCAGUUUAGAAAACAUUAUCUUUUCAUGUUUUUCUCUGAUAGGCACUGCAAUGAUUUGCAUUCAUUCCCACCAAGUGUCAGAAAAUCCUGUGAAGUAGUAACAACCAGGCUUCUUAAUGCAAUUCAAAUA